RNAcentral lists this non-coding RNA (45 nucleotides) under Trichobilharzia regenti. The record is from RNAcentral. Lineage: Eukaryota; Metazoa; Platyhelminthes; Trematoda; Strigeidida; Schistosomatidae.
AUCCAGAUGACGAGUCCCAAUCUGGACGAAAUGCGCAUCCUGGAU